CCUACGGGCGGCUGCAGUGAGGAAUAUUGGUCAAUGGCCGGAAGGCUGAACCAGCCAAGUCGCGUGAAGGACGACUGUGCCAAGGAUUGUAAACUUCUUUUGUCAAGGGACAAAAUCAGGCUCGUGAGCCUGAUUGCGGGUACUUGAUGAAAAAGCAUCGGCUAACUCCGUGCCAGCAGCCGCGGUAAUACGGAGGAUGCGAGCGUUAUCCGGAUUUAUUGGGUUUAAGGGGUGCGUAGACGGGUGGUUAAGUCAGCGGUAAAAGCCCGGGGCUAAACCCCGGAGGGCGGUUGAUACUGGCAGUCUUGAGAUGUCUAGAGGUAUGCGGAAUGCGCAGUGUAGCGGUGAAAUGCUUAGAUAUUGCGCAGAACUCCGAUUGCGAAGGCAGCAUACUAGCGUCUAACUGACGCUGAGGCACGAAAGCGUGGGUAUCAAACAGGAUUAGAUACCCUUGUAGUC
RNAcentral lists this ribosomal RNA (459 nucleotides) under uncultured bacterium. RNAcentral's name for it is "partial 16S ribosomal RNA". It matches the Rfam family "Bacterial small subunit ribosomal RNA", at positions 338 to 795 of the family's 1533-position model. The record is from RNAcentral.